Molecule: ribosomal RNA, 699 nt
Filed under: Pseudoniphargus morenoi
Lineage: Eukaryota; Metazoa; Arthropoda; Malacostraca; Amphipoda; Allocrangonyctidae
Description: 12S ribosomal RNA
Source: RNAcentral
AGUUAAUUAUUUAAAUAUAGUUAAUUAAAUAUUUUAUAGUAAAAAAAAAAAAAAAAAAAAAAGUAAAAUCAUUGCUUUUAUAUUAAUAUAAAUAUUAUUUUUAUAACAGUAAAGAAAGUUAGUUAAUAAGUUUUGCAAUAGAAAUAUUUAUAAAAUUAGUUAAAUUUGUGCCAGCAUCUGCGGUUAUACUAGGAAUUUGAUUAAUAUAAUUUAGAAUUUAUAAAAAUAAGUGAUAUUGAAAAUAUAAUUUGGUGAAAUAAUUUAUUGAAGUUAAAUUAAUUUUAUUAAAAAAGUUUGGGUAAAAGCAGGAUUAGAUACCCUGUUAUUUGUGUUAGAAUUUUUCUAAGGAUUAAUGAUAAAUUUAGAAGAUUUGGCGGCUGAAAUAAAUUAAAGGGGUUUGUUUUUUUAUUUGAUGUGACUCAUUAGGUUUUACUUGUUUUAUUUAGUAUAUCGUCAUUUAGAUAGUUUAUAAUUAAUUAACUAUUGUAAAGUAUUUAAAUAAAUUAGAUCAAGGUGCAGAGAUAGACAAGGAUUAAUUAACUACAAUAAUAUAUUAUUAAACUUACUUUUUUUAAAUGAGAGAUACAGGUGGAUUUAAUUGUAAUUAAAGUUGUGUGAAAGUUAUUUUAGUGUACAAAUUGCCCGUCAUUCUCUAUGAGACAAGUCGAAACAAAGUAGGGCUAUCGGAAGCUGGACCUA